This is a small nuclear RNA of Vulpes vulpes (red fox), 105 nucleotides long. The record is from Ensembl. NCBI's taxonomy places the organism in Eukaryota, Metazoa, Chordata, Mammalia, Carnivora, Canidae.
GUGCUCACUUUAGCAGCCCAUAUACAAAAAAUUGGGAUGAUAGAGACAUUAGUGUGGUCCCUGUGCAAGGUUGACCUGCAAAUUCGUGAGGCAUUCUGUAUGUUU